Molecule: small nuclear RNA, 22 nt
Filed under: Arabidopsis thaliana (thale cress)
Lineage: Eukaryota; Viridiplantae; Streptophyta; Magnoliopsida; Brassicales; Brassicaceae
Description: snRNA_11424
Source: RNAcentral
AAAAUGAUAGAGAAGAUAGCAA